Molecule: unclassified non-coding RNA, 211 nt
Filed under: plant metagenome
Description: partial contains small subunit ribosomal RNA, internal transcribed spacer 1, and 5.8S ribosomal RNA
Source: RNAcentral
UUUCCGUAGGUGAACCUGCAGAAGGAUCAUUCAUAAUAAAGUGUUUUAUGGCACUUUUUAAAAAUCCAUAUCCACCUUGUGUGCAAUGUUAGAUCUCGUCAAUCUUGGCGAGAUUUUUAUACAUCAACUCAUUCUUUAACUAAUUUGUCAGAAAAAUAUUAUGAAUACCUAAUUCAAAAUACAACUUUCAACAACGGAUCUCUUGGCUCUC